AGCGCAACCCUUGUCUUUAGUUACCAUCAUUCAGUUGGGGACGUCUAGAGAGACUGCCGGUGAUAAACCGGAGGAAGGUGGGGAUGACGUCAAAUCAUCAUGCCCCUUAUGACCUGGGCUACACACGUACUACAAUGGCGCAUACAACGAGCUGCGAGAUGGUGACAUCAAGCGAAUCUCUUAAAAUGCGUCUCAGUUCAGAUUGGAGUCUGCAACUCGACUCCAUGAAGUCGGAAUCGCUAGUAAUCGCGGAUCAGCAUGCCGCGGUGAAUACGUUCUCGGGGUUU
RNAcentral lists this ribosomal RNA (287 nucleotides) under uncultured Erysipelothrix sp. RNAcentral's name for it is "partial 16S ribosomal RNA". It matches the Rfam family "Bacterial small subunit ribosomal RNA", at positions 1095 to 1382 of the family's 1533-position model. The record is from RNAcentral. Lineage: Bacteria; Bacillati; Bacillota; Erysipelotrichia; Erysipelotrichales; Erysipelotrichaceae.